This is a long non-coding RNA of Myripristis murdjan (pinecone soldierfish), 103 nucleotides long. RefSeq lists it as uncharacterized. The transcript is spliced from 3 exons. The record is from RefSeq and is a predicted model, not a curated record. NCBI's taxonomy places the organism in Eukaryota, Metazoa, Chordata, Actinopteri, Holocentriformes, Holocentridae.
CAUUUUACUUGGGAAUUUUUUGCAAGAAACGACUGCCUGCCAGAAACCCACAGCACUCGAUGUCAGACAGUCAGCUGCAGCAGAAGUUGAUGUUCGCUAAUGA